UGGGAAUAUUGGACAAUGGGCGAAAGCCUGAUCCAGCAAUGCCGCGUGAGUGAUGAAGGCCUUAGGGUUGUAAAGCUCUUUUACCCGGGAUGAUAAUGACAGUACCGGGAGAAUAAGCUCCGGCUAACUCCGUGCCAGCAGCCGCGGUAAUACGGAGGAGCUAGCGUUAUUCGGAAUUACUGGGCGUAGAGCGCACGUAGGCGGCUUUGUAAGUUAGAGGUGAAAGCCUGGAGCUCAACUCCAGAAUUGCCUUUAAGACUGCAUCGCUUGAAUCCAGGAGAGGUGAGUGGAGUUCCGAGUGUAGAGGUGAAAUUCGUAGAUAUUCGGAAGAACACCAGUGGCGAAGGCGGCUCACUGGACUGGUAUUGACGCUGAGGUGCGAAAGCGUGGGAGCGAAACAAGAUUAGAUACCCUGGUAGUCCACGCCGUAAACGAUGAUAACUAGCUGUCGGGCGUCUUAGAGCUUCGGUGG
RNAcentral lists this ribosomal RNA (472 nucleotides) under uncultured Pseudomonadota bacterium. RNAcentral describes it as "bacterial SSU rRNA". It matches the Rfam family "Bacterial small subunit ribosomal RNA", at positions 356 to 846 of the family's 1533-position model. Lineage: Bacteria; Pseudomonadati; Pseudomonadota. The record is from RNAcentral.